UACGUAGGGUGCAAGCGUUGUCCGGAAUUAUUGGGCGUAAAGAGCUCGUAGGCGGUCUGUCGCGUCGGUCGUGAAAACUUGGGGCUUAACCCUGAGCUUGCGGUCGAUACGGGCAUGACUGGAGUUCAGUAGGGGAGACUGGAAUUCCUGGUGUAGCGGUGAAAUGCGCAGAUAUCAGGAGGAACACCGGUGGCGAAGGCGGGUCUCUGGGCCGAUACUGACGCUGAGGAGCGAAAGCGUGGGGAGCGAACAGG
RNAcentral lists this ribosomal RNA (254 nucleotides) under uncultured bacterium. Its description in RNAcentral is "partial 16S ribosomal RNA". It matches the Rfam family "Bacterial small subunit ribosomal RNA", at positions 524 to 776 of the family's 1533-position model. The record is from RNAcentral.